AGUGACCUGAUUUCUCCAUUAAAUGUUGGGUUUCUGCAAGCAGAAUCAUGUGUAGUGUGUUAACUGUGGUGAUUGGUGAUUACGACAGAACAGUCAAAUUCGAACAUCAUAGCAAGUAGGGGAAAGUAUAUUUUUCAUCCCUAAACUCACUCGAAAGUAUAGAAACGGUCCCUUAACUUCAAAACCAGCAAAACUUAGUCCCUCAAUUCUUAAACCGGAUAACUUGAGUCCUUUGAUUUAACAACAGUGGUUUUCACGCUGACUUGCAUGGUUUCACCAGUCAUCGCCCAUGUGUGGCCGAGCAACAACGGCAAACCGGGCGAGCCGCCGAAGCGGGUGCGGCUGAUGGCGCUGGAGCGGCGACAAGCGUGCGCCCCGCCGUCGCGCAGUUGUCCGCGCCAUGUCCACGACCCACAACACGCAAGUGAUGGAUUUGAACGAGAACUGGAUGACGCGGGGACAUCAACGGCGCGGUCGCCGACAAUUGCAGAGGCAUACCAUGAGAACGAGGCGGCAACACGAGCAUCAGUUAGUUGUGACUGUGUUACGAGUUCGCCGUGAAGGCCAAGCCGCCGCGUGCCUUAGUGCUGCUAGCCGCGACAGCCCCGCUCGUCCCACAAAACUAACUGUAGUGCAGCUCCCUGGCCUCCUGCACCCUUUGCGUGCGCCGCCGACACCCACGCAAGCUCCAUGCCUACCUCUUCCUCUUGUUGCCUGGUGGCGCCUACUACUCGACGAAAUGCCCAGCCGAGUUAAAAUGGAAAGGAAGAAGAUUCCCACGUGGGUGCUGACUGGUCAAAACCAUGCCAAGUAAGCAUGAAAACAGCUUUUGUUGAGUCAAGGGACUAAAAUAAUCCGGUUUGAGAAGUUGAGGGACUAACAUUUGCCGGUUUUAAAGUUGAAGGAACGUUUCUAUACUUUUGAGCGAGUCCAGGGACGAAAAAUAUACUUUUCCCUAGCAAGUAUGCACAAAACAAUGUGUAUCAACAAUAACAGUACAAGUUGAAAAACUGGAAUUAUUGAGUGCACCCUUGGUGCUAUUUUAAAGACGUACUAACCUAAUUCCCCUUGUUUGCUCCCUGAGCAUCGUCGAAGAUUGAACAUUCUACCAUCUAUGAACCAGCCAGUUCCCCUGGUUUGAAGCAACCUGCUAUUUGGCAUCUCUGAUAAUAUAUGUACAAAACAAUCAAAAGAUUUCCCUAGAUAUUUGUAAUACAUAUUAGUUCUUAUCUUGUAACCAAGCAAUAUGCAAGAUAAAGUUUCUUUAGGAUGACCAAGUUAUAUGUACAUUGUAGCAGAUACCAAACUUAUUUUUAAACACUCAUAGAAUGGCACGAUAUCAUAGACUUUGUUUGUACAAAAAAAAUUAUAUUGUAUCUGAUGUCUGAUCUCAGUAUUGAUCUCGGAUUACCAGUUGUACUUCUGAAUGAAGUCCCAAGUAAAUUAUUUGAAGCCCAUGAAGCAACCACAUGAAAAAAAAGCACUCAAGACGAUGCUUUAUCUUUAAAUCAUACCACCUCUAAUCCCCUAGAUAUCUUAUGGACCUUGCUUUCUCACACAUGAACAUUGCCAACAAAUACACAUACCUAAUCCAUAUGCACUCUAGCAUAAAAAUGUAUGUUUUGCUAGCUCAUCCAUGGUACUUACACAUGCAGUUAUCACUUCAACGUUCUUUGCAACCUAGUUAAAUGUGGAUGGCUGGAUAAACAUAUAAGAAAGUAUUUAUAUUUCUACAACGUUGCUGAAAGAAAGGAAAUCCUACAAAAUUGAAGACAAAAGCAAAAUGUAGAUGAUAGAUACUUACUAAUAUCAUCUUAUCCUAUGCGUUCGAUGCAGCAGCAUCUUUGUGGCAUCGGUGAAAUUUCCCUGCAGCAUAAGAUCUUCAUAACGCCAAAACAAAGAAAAGCUUCCAAGCGUUUCCAAAUAUAAAAAAUUAACAAUCUUCAAAUCAAUUAAAGGAGUAAUCAUUUCAACCCCAGGAGGCUAGAAUGAGGAGCCCUUGUUGAACUCAUUUUUCACGAGAAGAAAAAAAAGAAAAGGAACAUAUAUAAGAUAACAAGAAAAUCUACAUCUCCUGAAAUUAAGUAUACAUACAACAAAAAUAUAUGUUAUUUUACCAAAACAGUGAGAACAAUUACUUCCUUGUGAUUUCUAAGAAAAAAUUUCCUGUUAGUUUUUCCUCAAGCAAUUAACAAGAAAUGGUUAGAAAAGUCACAAUAUAUUCAAUCUUAAUGUGACAUGUGCAGGUAUGAUCAUUAAAAGUACAGACCGACUUGAUCAUGCAGAUACUAAAGAAAGAAAACAACCCUGCUUAUUCACCAAUCCUAGAACCCUACAAUGAAAGUUUCACGAAAUAAUUACAAAAACCAACAGUUCUUCAUGAAAUUUACACCUGACAUCUACUAUGGUUUUAGAAAUAUUUCACUAGGUAAAAGGUAGAGGAUGUAUGCAUAUCUUUUGAGCUACUCUCAACCUCUUAAUGUGACAUGUGCAUGUGUGAUCAUUAAAAAUACACAUUGGUCAUGUAGAUAUUAAGGAAAGAAGAAAAAAAUAUAACAUUAGCAGAUCAUUAAUGUUGCUAUUACACAAUAUCUACAGCGGCUUGUUGUUGCUCUUUGUGUCUCCUAUAAAAUUGAAAGUUGUUUUUCGAAUCAAAGCUUAAACCAUGAACGUUGCUAGACGAACAAAAUUUUGAAUCGACAAAGCAAAAAAUAUUCAAGACCUUGCUGGAUUAAGAACCACUAAUAUCUAGAUAAGGUCAAAUGAUAUAAGUAGACAUGAGGUCAAAACGAUCGCAAUAAUAGCUCCGAAAGUAGAAGAAUGAUACAAGAACACAUCAGUCAAAUGAUAUAAGAAGACAUGAACAUUGUAGCUUACUGAAGAUUGUCCCAUUUUCCUGCCUAAAGCUUGGUCCUGACCUC
Molecule: long non-coding RNA, 2921 nt
Filed under: Triticum aestivum (bread wheat)
Lineage: Eukaryota; Viridiplantae; Streptophyta; Magnoliopsida; Poales; Poaceae
Description: long non-coding RNA (TAES_LNC016940)
Source: RNAcentral